GUAACACCAAAGGAUAGAGUGACCAAUGCUUACUGAAAGUGACAAGAGAAGACAAGUUCUGUGAGUCAUCCAGAGCCUUCCAGACCCUCCUUUCAUAUCGGACAACGAAAGAACCCGCCCUGCUACCUCCAUUCUGUGAGAUUGUUGUCACGUCUAAAUAUAGCCAAGAUAUCUUCAUCUCCAUAUCGAAUGUGGGAGUACCCGGCAAAAAAAACCCAGCAAGCAUGUGGAAAACAUUCAAACUCUAAAUAGGAAGUCCCAAGCUGCAGUUCAUCCUCAGAACCUGUUGAUGGUGUGGCUGACAUGAGGCAAAAUGGACCUGGGAACAAUUCUGGUCAGUUUUGGAAAGUUUGGGAUUCAUACAUGAGGAAAACAAGGAUCUCCUGGAGUGGCAGGUAUGGCACAGCACAGCACAGCGUUUCCAUGGAAACACACUCUGGCAUUUGCUGUACAAGUGCCAACCGUCUCAGUACACAACACCGCCUCUGUUUUCACCCCCAAACAUCACUGUAAAAAACAAAACAAAAAACAAAUAAAUUUCCUUACCUGCCUUUGGUACCUGCCCUCUUUUGUCAAGUCACAAGUUGUGUCUUUUCUUCUCUCUGCCUUUCGCCCUCCUUUCGUCUUUAGCCGUCCACUCCCUCUCUCCCUCGCUGUCCCUCACCCUCCCCAUCCUUAUUCCUUUCCUCUCUCUCUUUGAGUUUGGCUUUUUUCCCUUUUGAGGUCACAGUGCCUCUUUCUUCUCGACCCGUGAUUUUGACUCUUCAGAGAGUCCAUCUCGGCUCGCUUCAGUGAGCAAGUAACACGGUCACUGCGGUGUAUUUGCACGGAUGCAAAAACGUGGGAAAGAUGGAACAUUAGUUAUUUGCUCAGAGCCGCCCAGCUGGGAUUG
Syngnathus typhle (broad-nosed pipefish) is the source of this 892-nucleotide long non-coding RNA. RefSeq lists it as uncharacterized. The record is from RefSeq and is a predicted model, not a curated record. NCBI's taxonomy places the organism in Eukaryota, Metazoa, Chordata, Actinopteri, Syngnathiformes, Syngnathidae. The transcript has 4 exons.